Molecule: long non-coding RNA, 550 nt
Organism: Raphanus sativus (radish)
Lineage: Eukaryota; Viridiplantae; Streptophyta; Magnoliopsida; Brassicales; Brassicaceae
Exons: 3
Source: RefSeq, a predicted model, not a curated record
UUCUGUUGGUUUGUACACAUAUUGUUUUAGCAUAAUUGUGUUGAUUAUACAUUAUGUAGUUACGUUUUUUUUAGUGACGAGUGCUUCACGAGGAUAUGCUUUUGUGGAGUAUGAGACUGAGAAGGAGAUGCGCCAUGCUAGUGGAGUUUAGUUGCAGGAAAGGAAUGUUCUUCGUGGUGGUUUUUUACAAGAUGCUCAUCAUUCAUUUAUUGAUGGUCAAGAGAUUAUCUAAACUAUUAAAGGGGAAGUACAAAUAGUAUUUAGCCCUAAGUUUUUCUCAAAUAUUACAAUCUAAUGCCACUGGAAUUAAAACACGGUAGUUUUACUAAACCUGCUUAAACCUAGGAUGUUGCCCCCACCCCCACUUCUAACGCCGACGUUUCACCCACAUGAUAAUGGCUUUCGUCGAGCUCUGCGCCGGCCUAUAUGUUUACUCUGGAGAUCCAAAGUAGCGUGAGGUAAGAGUAUGUUUUGUAUACGUGGAGUUACACUAUUUCGUUGCACGAGUGAUCAUAAAGGUUUCUUCUUUACAGGCUAUGAAUAAAUACGG